RNAcentral lists this ribosomal RNA (494 nucleotides) under uncultured bacterium. RNAcentral's name for it is "partial 16S ribosomal RNA". It matches the Rfam family "Bacterial small subunit ribosomal RNA", at positions 28 to 507 of the family's 1533-position model. The record is from RNAcentral.
GACGAACGCUGGCGGCGUGCUUAACACAUGCAAGUCGAACGGAAAGGCCUGUCCUUCCUUGUGUUGGACGGGUACUCGAGUGGCGAACGGGUGAGUAACACGUGAGUGAUCUGCCCCCAACUUGGGUAUAAGCCUGGGAAACUGGGUCUAAUUCCCGAUAGGACUGCAGGGUGGUGCCUGUGGUGGAAAACGAUUUUCUAGUGGUUGGGGAUGAGCUCGCGGCCUAUCAGCUUGUUGGUGGGGUAAUGGCCUACCAAGGCGGCGACGGGUAGCCGGCCUGAGAGGGUGGACGGCGACAUUGGGACUGAGAUACGGCCCAGACUCCUACGGGAGGCAGCAGUGGGGAAUAUUGCACAAUGGGCGGAAGCCUGAUGCAGCGACGCCGCGUGGGGGAUGACGGCCUUCGGGUUGUAAACUCCUUUCGACCGCGAGGAAGCCGCCUGGUUGGAAGGGUGGUGACGGUAGUGGUAGAAGAAGCACCGGCUAACUACGUG